RNAcentral lists this small nuclear RNA (291 nucleotides) under Marmota monax (woodchuck). It matches the Rfam family "7SK RNA". From Rfam's summary of the family: 7SK was discovered as an abundant small nuclear RNA in the mid-70s but a possible function has only recently been suggested. Two independent studies have found that 7SK RNA binds the CDK9/cyclin T complex (known as elongation factor P-TEFb). Lineage: Eukaryota; Metazoa; Chordata; Mammalia; Rodentia; Sciuridae. The record is from RNAcentral.
GGAUGUGAGGGCGAUCUGGCUGCGACAUCUGUCACCCCAUUGAUUGCCAGGGUUGAUUUGGCUGAUCUGGCUGGCUAGGCGGGUGUCCCCUUCCUCCCUCACCGCUCCAAGUGCGUCCCUCCCGAAGCUGCGCACUCGGUCAAAGAGGACGACCUUCCCCGAUGGAGGAGGACCGUUCUUCGGUCAAGGGUAUACAGUAGCUGCGCUCCCUUGCUAGAACCUCCAAACAAGCUCUCAAGAAAUGGGCCAGAACUAUACAUAGCUGUGCAGCCUCUGAGGCUGGCUCUGUGA